Molecule: ribosomal RNA, 259 nt
Filed under: uncultured bacterium
Lineage: Bacteria
Description: partial 16S ribosomal RNA
Rfam family: Bacterial small subunit ribosomal RNA
Source: RNAcentral
CGCACGGGUGAGUAACACGUAUGGAACCUGCCCGCAGCAGGGGGAUAAGCGGAAGAAAUUCCGUCUAAUACCGCGUAACACCAUUUGGAGACAUCUCCAGGUGGUCAAAGGAGGCGACUCCGGCAUAGGAUGGCCAUGCGUCGCAUUAGCUAGUCGGCGGGGUAACGGCCCACCGAGGCGACGAUGCGUAGGGGUUCUGAGAGGAAGGUCCCCCACACUGGUACUGAGACACGGACCAGACUCCUACGGGAGGCAGCAG